RNAcentral lists this ribosomal RNA (497 nucleotides) under uncultured bacterium. Its description in RNAcentral is "partial 16S ribosomal RNA". It matches the Rfam family "Bacterial small subunit ribosomal RNA", at positions 28 to 523 of the family's 1533-position model. The record is from RNAcentral.
GAUGAACGCUGGCGGCGUGCUUAACACAUGCAAGUCGAACGAAGCAUUUGCGACAGAUUCCUUCGGAUUGAAGUUGCUUAUGACUGAGUGGCGGACGGGUGAGUAACGCGUGGGUAACCUGCCUCAUACAGGGGGAUAGCAGCUGGAAACGGCUGGUAAUACCGCAUAAGCGCACAGUACCACAUGGUACAGUGUGAAAAACUCCGGUGGUAUGAGAUGGACCCGCGUCUGAUUAGCUAGUUGGCGAGGUAACGGCCCACCAAGGCGACGAUCAGUAGCCGACCUGAGAGGGUGACCGGCCACAUUGGGACUGAGACACGGCCCAGACUCCUACGGGAGGCAGCAGUGGGGAAUAUUGCACAAUGGAGGAAACUCUGAUGCAGCGACGCCGCGUGAGUGAAGAAGUAGUUCGCUAUGUAAAGCUCUAUCAGCAGGGAAGAUAGUGACGGUACCUGACUAAGAAGCUCCGGCUAAAUACGUGCCAGCCGCCGCUGUAA